CCCUUAGAGUUUGAUCCUGGCUCAGAUUGAACGCUGGCGGCAUGCCUUACACAUGCAAGUCGAACGGUAACAGGUCUUCGGAUGCUGACGAGUGGCGAACGGGUGAGUAAUACAUCGGAACGUGCCCGAUCGUGGGGGAUAACGGAGCGAAAGCUUUGCUAAUACCGCAUACGAUCUACGGAUGAAAGCAGGGGACCGCAAGGCCUUGCGCGGACGGAGCGGCCGAUGGCAGAUUAGGUAGUUGGUGGGAUAAAAGCUUACCAAGCCGACGAUCUGUAGCUGGUCUGAGAGGACGACCAGCCACACUGGGACUGAGACACGGCCCAGACUCCUACGGGAGGCAGCAGUGGGGAAUUUUGGACAAUGGGCGAAAGCCUGAUCCAGCCAUGCCGCGUGCAGGAUGAAGGCCUUCGGGUUGUAAACUGCUUUUGUACGGAACGAAAAGACUCCUUCUAAUAAAGGGGGUCCAUGACGGUACCGUAAGAAUAAGCACCGGCUAACUACGUGCCAGCAGCCGCGGUAAUACGUAGGGUGCAAGCGUUAAUCGGAAUUACUGGGCGUAAAGCGUGCGCAGGCGGUUAUAUAAGACAGAUGUGAAAUCCCCGGGCUCAACCUGGGAACUGCAUUUGUGACUGUAUAGCUAGAGUACGGUAGAGGGGGAUGGAAUUCCGCGUGUAGCAGUGAAAUGCGUAGAUAUGCGGAGGAACACGAUGGCGAAGCAAUCCCCUGGACCUGUACUGACGCUCAUGCACGAAAGCGUGGGGAGCAAACAGAUAGAUACCUGGUAGUCACGCCCUAAC
This 800-nucleotide ribosomal RNA is filed under the name uncultured bacterium. RNAcentral describes it as "bacterial SSU rRNA". It matches the Rfam family "Bacterial small subunit ribosomal RNA", at positions 1 to 806 of the family's 1533-position model. The record is from RNAcentral.